GCGGCGUGCUUAACACAUGCAAGUCGAACGGAAAGGCCCUGCUUUUGUGGGGUGCUCGAGUGGCGAACGGGUGAGUAACACGUGAGUAACCUGCCCUUGACUUUGGGAUAACUUCAGGAAACUGGGGCUAAUACCGGAUAGGAGCUCCUGCUGCAUGGUGGGGGUUGGAAAGUUUCGGCGGUUGGGGAUGGACUCGCGGCUUAUCAGCUUGUUGGUGGGGUAGUGGCUUACCAAGGCUUUGACGGGUAGCCGGCCUGAGAGGGUGACCGGCCACAUUGGGACUGAGAUACGGCCCAGACUCCUACGGGAGGCAGCAGUGGGGAAUAUUGCACAAUGGGCGGAAGCCUGAUGCAGCAACGCCGCGUGCGGGAUGACGGCCUUCGGGUUGUAAACCGCUUUCGCCUGUGACGAAGCGUGAGUGACGGUAAUGGGUAAAGAAGCACCGGCUAACUACGUGCCAGCAGCCGCGGUGAUACGUAGGGUGCGAGCGUUGUCCGGAUUUAUUGGGCGUAAAGGGCUCGUAGGUGGUUGAUCGCGUCGGAAGUGUAAUCUUGGGGCUUAACCCUGAGCGUGCUUUCGAUACGGGUUGACUUGAGGAAGGUAGGGGAGAAUGGAAUUCCUGGUGGAGCGGUGGAAUGCGCAGAUAUCAGGAGGAACACCAGUGGCGAAGGCGGUUCUCUGGGCCUUUCCUGACGCUGAGGAGCGAAAGCGUGGGGAGCGAACAGGCUUAGAUACCCUGGUAGUCCACGCUGUAAACGGUGGGAACUAGGUGUGGGGUCCAUUCCACGGGUUCCGUGCCGUAGCUAACGCUUUAAGUACCCCGCCUGGGGAGUACGGCCGCAAGGCUAAAACUCAAAGGAAUUGACGGGGCCCCGCACAAGCGGCGGAGCAUGCGGAUUAAUUCGAUGCAACGCGUAGAACCUUACCUGGGUUUGACAUGGAUCGGGAGUGCUCAGAGAUGGGUGUGCCUCUUUUGGGGUCGGUUCACAGGUGGUGCAUGGCUGUCGUCAGCUCGUGUCGUGAGAUGUUGGGUUAAGUCCCGCAACGAGCGCAACCCUUGUUCACUGUUGCCAGCACGUUAUGGUGGGGACUCAGUGGAGACCGCCGGGGUCAACUCGGAGGAAGGUGGGGAUGACGUCAAGUCAUCAUGCCCCUUAUGUCCAGGGCUUCACGCAUGCUACAAUGGCUGGUACAGAGAGUGGCGAGCCUGUGAGGGUGAGCGAAUCUCGGAAAGCCGGUCUCAGUUCGGAUUGGGGUCUGCAACUCGACCUCAUGAAGUCGGAGUCGCUAGUAAUCGCAGAUCAGCAACGCUGCGGUGAAUACGUUCCCGGGGCUUGUACACACCGCCCGUCAAGUCAUGAAAGUUGGUAACACCCGAAGCCGGUGGCCUAACCGUUGUGGGGGAGCCGUCGAAGGUGGGACUGGUGAUUAGGACUAAGUCAUA
Molecule: ribosomal RNA, 1444 nt
Filed under: uncultured organism
Description: partial small subunit ribosomal RNA
Rfam family: Bacterial small subunit ribosomal RNA
Source: RNAcentral